Apteryx owenii (little spotted kiwi) is the source of this 1735-nucleotide long non-coding RNA. The record is from Ensembl. Lineage: Eukaryota; Metazoa; Chordata; Aves; Apterygiformes; Apterygidae.
CUCCCGAGGGGCCCAGGCGUCCGGGCACCCCCAGGGAAGGGGCCCAGGUGUCCGGGCAUGUGUGGGGCAGGGGCCCAGGUGUCCGGGCACAGGUGGGGUGUGGGCCCAGGCGUCCGGGCACCCCCAGGGAAGUGAUCCAGGGACCCCCAGGGCAGGGGCCCAGGCGUCCGGGCACCAUAGGGAAGGGGCCCAGGCAUCCAGGCACCCCCAGGGAAGGGGCCCAGGUGUCCGGGCACCCCUAGGGCAGGGGCCCAGGCGUCCGGGCGUGUGUGGGGCAGGGGCCCAGGCAUCCGGGCACCCCCAGGGCAGGGAUCCAGGCACCCCCAGGGAAGGGGCCCAGGCAUCCGGGCACAUGUGGGGUGUGGGCCCAGGCGUCCGGGUGCGUGUGGGGCAGGGGCCCAGGCAUCCGGGCACCCCCCAGGGAAGGGGCCCAGGCAUCCGGGCACGUGUGGGGCAGGGGCCCAGGUGUCCGGGCACCCCCCAGGGAAGGGGCCUAGGUGUCUGGACGCUGUAGGGAAGGGGCCCAGGCGUCCGGGCGCAUGUGGGGCAGGGACCCAGGCGUCUGGACACUGUAGGGAAGGGACCCAGGUAUCCGGGCGCGUGUGGGGCAGGGGCCCAGGCGUCCGGGCACCCCCCAGGGCAGGGGCCCAGGCGUCCGGGCCCUGACAGCGGGACGCACCGGGGGGGGGGCGGGGGGGGACGCAGUUUGCGGCGCAGAGCGAGGCCGAGCGCCCCUUCAUCGUGGGCCACUUCCACGAGUGGCUGGCGGGGCUGGGCCUGGUGCUGAGCCGGGCGCGGCGCCUGCCCGUGGCCACCGUCUUCACCACCCACGCCACGCUGCUGGGCCGCUACCUCUGCGCCGCCAGCGUCGACUUCUACAACAACCUGCAGCACUUCGACGUGGACAAGGAGGCCGGCGAGCGGCAGAUCUACCACCGCUACUGCCUGGAGCGGGCGGCCGCCCACUGCGCCCACGUCCUCACCACCGUGUCCCACGUCACGGCCACCGAGGCCGAGCACCUGCUCAAGCGGCGCCCGGACCUGGUGACCCCCAACGGGCUCAACGUGCGCAAGUUCUCCGCCAUGCACGAGUUCCAGAACCUGCACGCCCAGAGCAAGGCCCGCGUCCAGGAGUUCGUCCGCGGCCACUUCUACGGGUCAGGGGCCCAGGCGUCCGGGGAAAGGGCCCAGGCGUCCGGGGAAAGGGCCCAGGCGUCCGGGUGGGAGGCAGCUGGGGGGCCCAGGCGUCCGGGAGUUCGUCUGUAGACACUUCUAUGGGUUGGAGGCCCAGGCGUCCGGGCAAGGACUUGGGUGUCCAAGGAGGGACCCAGGCGUCCGGAAGUUCAUCCAUGGCCACUUCCAUGGGUCAGGGCCCAGGCGUCCGGGCAGGAAUUUGGGUGGAUUUGGGGCAUUUUGGUGGUUCUGGGGUCUGGAAUUUGGGUGGAUUUGGGGCAUUUUGGUGGUUUUGGGGUCUGUGAGCUGGAAUUUGGGUGGAUUUGGGGCGUUUUGGUGGUUUUGGGGUCUGUGAGCUGGAAUUUGGGUGGAUUUGGGGCGUUUUGGUGGUUCUGGGGGCUGGAAUUCGGGUGGAUUUGGGUGUUUUUGGUGUUUUUGGGGUCUGUGAGCUGGAAUUUGGGUGGAUGUGGGGCGUUUUGGUGGUUCCUGGGGUCUGCAGGCCAGAAAUUGGGUGGAUUUGAGGCGUUUUGGUGGUUUUGGGGGCUGGAAUUUGGGUGGAUUU